CCUACGGGAGACAGCAGUGAGGAAUAUUGGUCAAUGGCCGGGAGGCUGAACCAGCCAAGUCGCGUGAGGGAAGACGGCCCUACGGAUUGUAAACCUCUUUUGUCAGGGAGCAAGGUGCGGGUCGGGUCCCGCUGUGAGAGUACCUGGAGAAAAAGCAUCGGCUAACUCCGUUCCCGGAGCCGCGGUAAUACGGGGGAUGCGAGCGUUAACCGGAUUUAUUGGGGUUAAAGGGUGCGCAGGCGGAGGGACAAGUCAGCGGUAAAAUCGCGGGGCGCAACCCCGCUCCGCCGUUGAAACUGUGUACCUAGAGUGCGCGAAGGGUAGGCGGAAUGCGUGGUGUAGCGGUGAAAUGCAUAGAUAUCACGCAGAACUCCGAUCGCGAAGGCAGCAUACCGGCGCGCAACUGACGCUGAUGCACGAAAGCGUGGGUAUCGAACAGGAUUAGAUACCCGAGUAGUC
Molecule: ribosomal RNA, 459 nt
Filed under: uncultured bacterium
Lineage: Bacteria
Description: partial 16S ribosomal RNA
Rfam family: Bacterial small subunit ribosomal RNA
Source: RNAcentral